ACCUCUAUAGCUCAAGGGUCAGAGCAUUGCCUGCAUGUAAUACUUAUGCAAGGUCUCUACAUUGGUGGGGAUCCAGGUUCAAUCCCUAGUGGAGACA
Non-coding RNA from Paramarasmius palmivorus, 97 nucleotides. Lineage: Eukaryota; Fungi; Basidiomycota; Agaricomycetes; Agaricales; Marasmiaceae. The record is from the annotation of a GenBank genome assembly.